AGAGUUUGAUCCUGGCUCAGGAUGAACGCUGGCGGUAUGCUUAACACAUGCAAGUCGAACGAAAUCUUCGGAUUUAGUGGCGGACGGGUGAGUAACGCGUGAGAAUCUAGCUCUAGGUCGGGGACAACCACUGGAAACGGUGGCUAAUACCGGAUGUGCCGAAAGGUGAAAGAUUUAUUGCCUAGAGAUGAGCUCGCGUCUGAUUAGCUAGUAGGUGUGGUAAGAGCGCACCUAGGCGACGAUCAGUAGCUGGUCUGAGAGGAUGAUCAGCCACACUGGGACUGAGACACGGCCCAGACUCCUACGGGAGGCAGCAGUGGGGAAUUUUCCGCAAUGGGCGAAAGCCUGACGGAGCAAUACCGCGUGAGGGAGGAAGGCUCUUGGGUUGUAAACCUCUUUUCUCAGGGAAGAACAAAAUGACGGUACUUGAGGAAUAAGCAUCGGCUAACUCCGUGCCAGCAGCCGCGGUAAUACGGAGGAUGCAAGCGUUAUCCGGAAUGAUUGGGCGUAAAGCGUCCGCAGGUGGCUAUGUAAGUCUGCUGUUAAAGAGUGAGGCUCAACCUCAUAAGAGCAGUGGAAACUACAUGGCUAGAGUGCGUUCGGGGCAGAGGGAAUUCCUGGUGUAGCGGUGAAAUGCGUAGAGAUCAGGAAGAACACCGGUGGCGAAAGCGCUCUGCUAGGCCGCAACUGACACUGAGGGACGAAAGCUAGGGGAGCGAAUGGGAUUAGAUACCCCAGUAGUC
This 743-nucleotide ribosomal RNA is filed under the name Tolypothrix sp. UAM 371. Its description in RNAcentral is "bacterial SSU rRNA". It matches the Rfam family "Bacterial small subunit ribosomal RNA", at positions 8 to 795 of the family's 1533-position model. The record is from RNAcentral. Lineage: Bacteria; Bacillati; Cyanobacteriota; Cyanophyceae; Nostocales; Tolypothrichaceae.